RNAcentral lists this ribosomal RNA (253 nucleotides) under uncultured bacterium. RNAcentral's name for it is "partial 16S ribosomal RNA". It matches the Rfam family "Bacterial small subunit ribosomal RNA", at positions 524 to 776 of the family's 1533-position model. The record is from RNAcentral.
UACGUAGGGCGCAAGCGUUGUCCGGAAUUAUUGGGCGUAAAGAGCUCGUAGGCGGUUUGUCGCGUCUGCUGUGAAAACCUAAGGCUCAACCUUGGGCUUGCAGUGGGUACGGGCAGACUAGAGUGCGGUAGGGGUGACUGGAAUUCCUGGUGUAGCGGUGAAAUGCGCAGAUAUCAGGAAGAACACCCGUGGCGAAAGCGGCUCUCUGGAACGGUACUGACGCUGAGACGCGAAAGCGUGGGGAGCGAACAGG